Molecule: long non-coding RNA, 1737 nt
Filed under: Homo sapiens (human)
Lineage: Eukaryota; Metazoa; Chordata; Mammalia; Primates; Hominidae
Description: non-protein coding ZBED3-AS1:18
Source: RNAcentral
AACAACUUUCAAGGAAAGAAUAGUUCUGUGUAAGCUGUGAGACAAAUAACCAAUAACCAGAGUUCACACAGAGCUGGGAAUCAUUUGAGUUCCCUCUAGUCAGAGUAAACAGACCUUGGUGAAUACACACGACAUUCAGUAAAAAUCCUGGAAAGGCAACAGUUUGAAGUGGGGCUAAAUUAUUUCUCAAAUAAAUGCUACUCUAGAACACGCUAAAAGAGCCUAGAACAUACCUCAAAAGGAUCAAACUAAUCUGCAAGUAAAAGUCCAACAGAAAAGAUUCAACACUCUUCAAAGAAAUACAGAAUUUCAGCACCCAACAAUGUAAACUUUACAAUAUCUAGAAUCUAAUCUGAAAUUAAUAGACAUAUGAAGAAAAAGAAAAUAUGAAGAACAGUCAAGAGAAAAAUUGGUGGGCUCUAUGAGAUUAGAGGUUUUGGUCCUCAAAUGAGGUGCAGCUUGGCAGGAGACACAGCAAGUGUCCCAUUGAACUAUAUACUAUGGCUGUUCCUAUCUUUUUUCCUCUAUUGCCCACAUCUUUGUCUUUCAGUUCUGUUUUCUAAAAGACUUCCUCAACUUUAUCAUUCAACUUUUCUAGCAACUUUUAAAACUUCAGCUUUCUUACUCUUAAUUUCCAAGAGCUCUUUCUUAUUUUCCAGUUACUGAAUUGUUACAUAUAUCCCUUGAGUUACAAAACCCUAAAGAAUUUCAUAUUGUUCAAAAUGGGAGGCCAAGUGAAAUUCUGACUCAUUUCUGGUACUUCUUGCCUCUCACCCAAAUUGCUGAUGGUCCUGUAGCCACAUUGACUGCUUUUCUCAUAUGGCUGAUGGUUUCUUUAUGGGAUUAUCACUAUCUGAAAUGCUAUGUGCCUGGGCGCUACUAUUUCUUUAAAUUUUACAAAUGGGAGAGCUGAGACUUCUCAUCUUAGAUGACACAGCUAGUAGGUGGUGGAGCUGAACCAGCCAGCUGGGUGUAUUUACAAUGAUCCAAGCGACAUGCAAGAAGGAAGAAAAGGGGAGGGCAAAAAGUGCCUACUACGUGUCAGAUGCUUUAUACACCUCAGUGCAUAGAGAUUUAAAAAUCUUUUAUGAGUGAUAAUUUUCUUUUCUUUUUCUACUUGGACUUUCUUGCUUUCAUCAACAUGAUCUGGGUGUCUUUUCAUGUCAGCAAAGAGAUUGACUCCUUUAUUUUUAACUCUGUAAGCUUGAGAGCAGAUGGGUAAACCGUAAUUUAUUUAACCAAUCCCUGUGAAUGGGCAUUUGGAUUAUUUCUCAGUUUUCACAGUCACAUACAGUACUUGUGAAAGAUCACACAGUGGAUCCAUUUAUUUAUAUAUUUCUGCAUACCUGUUUAGAUAUUUCUGGUGAAUCUGUUCCUAGGGGUGGAAUUAUUAUGUGAAAGAUCAUGGUUACUAUUUAAAUACAUACUUUUUUUUUUUAAAAAAAAACAGAAUCUCCCUCUGUUGUCCAGGCUGGAGGGGAGUAGUGCAUUAUUGGCUCACUGCAGGCUUGACCUCCCCAUCCAAGCAGUCCUCCUGCCUUAGCAUCCGGAUUAGCUGGGACUAUAGGCGUGCGCCACCAUGCCCAGCUAAUUUUUUAAUUAUUGUAGAGACAGAGUCUCACUGUGUUGCCCCAGCUGGUCUCAAACUCCUAAGUUCAAGUGAUCCUCCCACUUCAGCCUCCCAAAGUACUGGGAUUACAGGUGUGAGCCACCGUGCUGGCCAGAUAUAUACUUUUA